UAAGACGAAGCUAUUACUAGCGUCUCUAAUGAGAAUAAAUUUGCUUAACCAAAUCGUCUUAA
RNAcentral lists this transfer RNA (62 nucleotides) under Scinax madeirae. RNAcentral describes it as "tRNA-Val". The record is from RNAcentral. Lineage: Eukaryota; Metazoa; Chordata; Amphibia; Anura; Hylidae.